GGGAAGGUGGCUCAGUGGUAGAGAGCUUGCCUUGCAUGCACGAGGCCCUGGGUUCAAUUCCUGACCACCACA
RNAcentral lists this transfer RNA (72 nucleotides) under Dipodomys ordii (Ord's kangaroo rat). It matches the Rfam family "tRNA". From Rfam's summary of the family: Transfer RNA (tRNA) molecules are approximately 80 nucleotides in length. Their secondary structure includes four short double-helical elements and three loops (D, anti-codon, and T loops). The record is from Rfam by way of RNAcentral. Lineage: Eukaryota; Metazoa; Chordata; Mammalia; Rodentia; Heteromyidae.